Molecule: ribosomal RNA, 380 nt
Filed under: uncultured Acidovorax sp.
Lineage: Bacteria; Pseudomonadati; Pseudomonadota; Betaproteobacteria; Burkholderiales; Comamonadaceae
Description: bacterial SSU rRNA
Rfam family: Bacterial small subunit ribosomal RNA
Source: RNAcentral
AGAGAUAGAGGAGUGCUCGAAAGAGAACCGUAACACAGGUGCUGCAUGGCUGUCGUCAGCUCGUGUCGUGAGAUGUUGGGUUAAGUCCCGCAACGAGCGCAACCCUUGUCAUUAGUUGCUACAUUCAGUUGGGCACUCUAAUGAGACUGCCGGUGACAAACCGGAGGAAGGUGGGGAUGACGUCAAGUCCUCAUGGCCCUUAUAGGUGGGGCUACACACGUCAUACAAUGGAUGGUACAAAGGGUCGCCAACCCGCGAGGGGGAGCCAAUCCCAUAAAGCCAUUCGUAGUCCGGAUCGCAGUCUGCAACUCGACUGCGUGAAGUCGGAAUCGCUAGUAAUCGUGGAUCAGAAUGUCACGGUGAAUACGUUCCCGGGUCUU